RNAcentral lists this long non-coding RNA (343 nucleotides) under Daucus carota (carrot). Its description in RNAcentral is "long non-coding RNA (DCAR_LNC001492)". Lineage: Eukaryota; Viridiplantae; Streptophyta; Magnoliopsida; Apiales; Apiaceae. The record is from RNAcentral.
AGGCAAUAACUUCAAUACAUGUACUGCCAUACAGGUGGGAACUGAGAGCUACAUAACAUACACCAAGCCCAAGUGCUUCUUACUGCUAUAGACUUUAUGAAGGUUGGUACUUGGUAGGCCUUGGGCUCAGCUGCGUGUCCACCGAUUUUAAUUAAAGGACUCUGCCCCCUGGUCUGAUAUUGACCUGAAUGAUCUGGGGUUAGAAUGUCAAUAAUCAGCUGAUCUGAUGUUGGAAAUAAUAAAGUUCACUCACUUCUUUUCUUUCUCUUUUUCUCUCGGAAAUAUACAGGUGAGUAUAAAAUGGAAAGCAAUAUCCAAGCAACAAGCACAGGGGCCUUCAACU